RNAcentral lists this transfer RNA (17 nucleotides) under Hygroamblystegium varium. RNAcentral's name for it is "Amblystegium varium partial tRNA-Ser". Lineage: Eukaryota; Viridiplantae; Streptophyta; Bryopsida; Hypnales; Amblystegiaceae. The record is from RNAcentral.
GGAAAGAGAGGGAUUCA